AACGAACGCUGGCGGCAUGCCUAACACAUGCCAGUCGAACGAGACCUUCGGGUCUAGUGGCGCACGGGUGCGUAACGCGUGGGAACCUGCCCUUAGGUUCGGAAUAACUCCCCGAAAGGGGUGCUAAUACCGGAUAAUGUCUUCGGACCAAAGAUUUAUCGCCUUUGGAUGGGCCCGCGUUGGAUUAGCUAGUUGGUAGGGUAAAAGCCUACCAAGGCGACGAUCCAUAGCUGGUCUGAGAGGAUGAUCAGCCACACUGGGACUGAGACACGGCCCAGACUCCUACGGGAGGCAGCAGUGGGGAAUAUUGGACAAUGGGCGAAAGCCUGAUCCAGCAAUGCCGCGUGAGUGAUGAAGGCCGUAGGGUUGUAAAGCUCUUUUACCCGGGAUGAUAAUGACGGUACCGGGAGAAUAAGCUCCGGCUAACUCCGUG
This 433-nucleotide ribosomal RNA is filed under the name uncultured bacterium. Its description in RNAcentral is "partial 16S ribosomal RNA". It matches the Rfam family "Bacterial small subunit ribosomal RNA", at positions 29 to 507 of the family's 1533-position model. The record is from RNAcentral.